This 500-nucleotide ribosomal RNA is filed under the name uncultured bacterium. RNAcentral describes it as "bacterial SSU rRNA". It matches the Rfam family "Bacterial small subunit ribosomal RNA", at positions 8 to 518 of the family's 1533-position model. The record is from RNAcentral.
AGAGUUUGAUCAUGGCUCAGGAUGAACGCUGGCGGCGUGCUUAACACAUGCAAGUCGAACGGAUUAUGAUGAAACCUAGUGAUUCAUAAAUUAGUGGCGGACGGGUGAGUAACGCGUGGGUAACCUGCCUCAUACCGGGGGAUAACACUUAGAAAUAGGUGCUAAUACCGCAUAAGCGCACAGCUUCACAUGAAGCAGUGUGAAAAACUCCGGUGGUAUGAGAUGGACCCGCGUCUGAUUAGCUGGUUGGUGAGGUAACGGCCCCACCAAGGCGACGAUCAGUAGCCGGCCUGAGAGGGUGAACGGCCACAUUGGGACUGAGACACGGCCCAAACUCCUACGGGAGGCAGCAGUGGGGAAUAUUGGACAAUGGGGGAAACCCUGAAUCCAGCGACGCCGCGUGAGUGAAGAAGUAUUUCGGUAUGUAAAGCUCUAUCAGCAGGGAAGAAAAUGACGGUACCUGACUAAGAAGCCCCGGCUAACUACGUGCCAGCAGCGGC